Molecule: long non-coding RNA, 525 nt
Filed under: Ananas comosus (pineapple)
Lineage: Eukaryota; Viridiplantae; Streptophyta; Magnoliopsida; Poales; Bromeliaceae
Description: long non-coding RNA (ACOM_LNC011690)
Source: RNAcentral
AAAAAAUUAGUUUUUAUUUUUUUUUUCAAAUUUAAUAAAUAAUUUGUGAGACCCAGAUAAUUCUAUAUAUAAGAUAUAAUAGGGCUAAACUCUUAAUCCAAUUUAAGUAUUGUGGGUGGUAAUUAGAUCCAAGAUAUUAAGAGAGCUAAGCAUGUUAGGACGAAAGUAGUUUUAGGAUGGGCGACCACCACCUGUGAAGUUGGGGCAUCACAGUUAGUGUUAGAGCCAAUUAUCAACCGGAAGUGUGAGAUGAGUCUCAGCUGAGCCAGGAAGGCUAGCAAGAUGAGUCUCACAUCGUCUGAUACUUGUGAGUCUGAGUCUGACGAGAACGUCAGGGGUUAAAAGAGGAGAGAUUGUGAGACCCCAGAUAACCCUAUAUAUAAGAUAUAAUAGGGCUAAACUCUUAACCCGGUUUAAUUAUUUUGGAUGGUAGUUAGGCCAAAGAGGUUAAAAAAAUUGUGUGCUAGAAUUAGUCUUAGAAUGGAUAACUCCCUGAAAAGUUGGAGAGCCACAAAAUUAGUGUUU